AUGGGAAAGAGGAAAACAGGAUAGAAGACUGCAGGAUCUAUCACCAUGUUUCCAACUACUCCGCAUAGACAUGCAAAACAUGAAGAAUCUCCCUCCUGUUGGCACAAUUAUGAAUGCCAUGAAGGUGGCUUCUUUUUUUGUGGAGUCUAGGACAAUCUACGUCCAAGGAAAUUUAGAGUCUUUUGAGGAGCUACUUGUCAACAGUCUAGUUGAGGACAGAAUUUUUCUAGCUUAAAAGACUGCUAGAGCCAGGCAUGGUGGCACACAUCUGUAAUUCUAGCAUUCAGAAGGAUAAGAUCAGAAGAUCAUUAAUUCACUUCCAGCUUGGGAUAUACAGCAAGCCCAAGGAUAACUUGACUACAGAACAAGACUGCUACAGUAGAUGUUGCUUUGAAAAUGAGUCACAAAUAACAGACACAUAGCAAAACUCAGUAUAUGUGAGGAUGAACAGAAUGCAGCAACUGUGUAGAAUAAGUCUUUGAUGCUGUGACAACAAGAACGCAACAGAAACAGAUGUUCCAGUUCUACCUUCAAUUGCUAGUAAUUAUUGGAAUAAUUUUGCAUAAUUGUAGAGAGA
Molecule: long non-coding RNA, 577 nt
Filed under: Fukomys damarensis (Damara mole-rat)
Lineage: Eukaryota; Metazoa; Chordata; Mammalia; Rodentia; Bathyergidae
Description: lncRNA (ENSFDAG00000031320.1)
Source: RNAcentral